UACGAAGGGGGCUAGCGUUGUUCGGAAUUACUGGGCGUAAAGCGUUUGUAGGCGGUUAUACAAGUCAGAUGUGAAAGCCUGAGGCUCAACCUCAGAAUUGCAUUUGAAACUGUAUAGCUAGAGAAUGUUAGAGGAAAGUGGAAUUCCUAGUGUAGGAGUGAAAUCCGUAGAGAUUAGGAGGAAUAUCGAUGGCGAAGGCAGCUUUCUGGGACAUUUCUGACGCUGAGAAACGAAAGCGUGGGUAGCAAACAGG
RNAcentral lists this ribosomal RNA (253 nucleotides) under uncultured bacterium. RNAcentral's name for it is "partial 16S ribosomal RNA". It matches the Rfam family "Bacterial small subunit ribosomal RNA", at positions 524 to 776 of the family's 1533-position model. The record is from RNAcentral.